This 399-nucleotide ribosomal RNA is filed under the name Cremnorrhinus basalis. Its description in RNAcentral is "partial large subunit ribosomal RNA". The record is from RNAcentral. Lineage: Eukaryota; Metazoa; Arthropoda; Insecta; Hemiptera; Miridae.
UUAAUUGGAGUCUGGAAUGAAUGGUUGGAUGAAAAAUUUACUUUCUUUAUUUUAAAAAUAAAAUUUAAUUUCUGAAUCAAAAAGUUUAGAUUUUGUUAUAGGACGAGAAGACCCUAUAGAACUUUAUUCAUCCCAAGAUAUUUAUUUACUUGUAAAUAAUUUUUAUCUAUCUUGGGGGGAAUUUUGUUGGGGUGACAAAAAAAAUUUUUUAACUUUUUUUAUUUAUUUCAUUUAUAUAUGAAUUUUUGAUCCUUUAUUAUGGAUAUAAGAUUAAGUUACCUUAGGGAUAACAGCGUUAUUAUUUUAGAGAGUUCAUAUUGAUAAAAUAGUUUGCGACCUCGAUGUUGGAUUAAAAUUAGUUUCAGGAGUAGAAGAUUGAAUACUAGKYCUGKUCGACCU